Molecule: long non-coding RNA, 563 nt
Filed under: Mytilus galloprovincialis (Mediterranean mussel)
Lineage: Eukaryota; Metazoa; Mollusca; Bivalvia; Mytilida; Mytilidae
Source: RNAcentral
GUUGUCGCAGUGUUUUUUUUUAACCUUUUUAUCAAUUUUAGGGGCUCACGCAUCUUACUUUUUCACAUCUGUUAGUUUAUAGAUUUCUAGACCUAACUAAUGUACUAUUGUCAUAAAUUGACAUUUCUACCUACGCAGUACAUUUGUCUUAGAUUCUAUAUUUUAGUUCAGUAAAUCUUGUAAAAUUAGCUUACCUAUGUCUAGAAGAAUAAUUAGUCCAACGAAGAGAAUCAACUUCAUCUUGAUUCUUUUUUUUUCGGGUAAAUACUUCCACCUGUACACAAAAGUUAACCCGUCCUUUCUUCAAAUAUACAGGUACGAUAUAUCUAUCUUUAAACCCUCAGGCGAUAUAGGUGUGCAAGUCAAUAAGAGGCAUGACGAAUUGAACACAAUAUGAGCAAUUUAAAUUUAGACAUUUGUCAUAUAUACCCUACUUAUAAGAACAUCACAUCUAAACUGUUAAAAGUGGUUAGUCCUAUCUUUGGCAUAUACCAUUCACAAACUGAUACCUCAAAUUAGUUAUAUUGAUCGCCCUUAAUUUACAAAUUUGAAUAAGACUGAUG